Molecule: ribosomal RNA, 414 nt
Filed under: Brachyspira pilosicoli
Lineage: Bacteria; Pseudomonadati; Spirochaetota; Spirochaetia; Brachyspirales; Brachyspiraceae
Description: bacterial SSU rRNA
Rfam family: Bacterial small subunit ribosomal RNA
Source: RNAcentral
UGGCGAUGCGUCUUAAGCAUGCAAGUCGAGCGGGCUUAUUCGGGCAACUGGAUAAGUUAGCGGCGAACUGGUGAGUAACACGUAGGUAAUCUGCCGUGAAGUGGGGGAUAACCCAUGGAAACAUGGACUAAUACCGCAUAUACUCUUGCUACAUAAGUAGAGUAGAGGAAAGUUUUUUCGCUUCACGAUGAGCCUGCGGCCUAUUAGCCUGUUGGUAGGGUAAUGGCCUACCAAAGCUACGAUAGGUAGCCGACCUGAGAGGGUGACCGGCCACAUUGGGACUGAGAUACGGCCCAGACUCCUACGGGAGGCAGCAGCUGAGAAUCUUCCACAAUGGACGAAAGUUCAUCGCGUGAGGGAUGAAGCCUUCGGAAUUAUCGAAGAAGAGUACAGUAGAUAAUGUAAGCUAACUGC